UGCUUAGAUAUCUGCCGAUAGGUGGGGACGAACAGUUGGAACGAACUGCUAAUAACCGCAUAAUGUCUACGGACCAAAGUAGGGGGACCGUUCGGGCCGUCACGCCUAUUGAUGAGUCUAAGUGGGAGUUAGCUAGUUGGUGGGGUAAGUGGCUCACCAAGGCGACGAUCCUAGCUGGUCUGAGAGGAUGAUCAGCCACACUGGAACUGAGACACGGUCCAGACUCCUACGGGAGGCAGCAGUGGGGAAGUAUUGGACAAUGGGCGGCAAAGCCUGAUCCAGCCAUGCCGCGUGUGUGAA
Molecule: ribosomal RNA, 300 nt
Filed under: uncultured bacterium
Lineage: Bacteria
Description: bacterial SSU rRNA
Rfam family: Bacterial small subunit ribosomal RNA
Source: RNAcentral